RNAcentral lists this long non-coding RNA (498 nucleotides) under Elaeis guineensis (African oil palm). RNAcentral describes it as "long non-coding RNA (EGUI_LNC048688)". The record is from RNAcentral. Lineage: Eukaryota; Viridiplantae; Streptophyta; Magnoliopsida; Arecales; Arecaceae.
CUGACUGGGCUUGGGUGCCCCAGCACUUUGCAUCCUUUUCUUGUUCUUCUUGUUCUUCUUUAUUUUCUUAAAGGGUCGACAUCCAGAAGAAGACCCUCCCAUAAUAUUCACCGACUCUUUUUGGAGCUGUGAUCUUUCUUAAAGUUUUGCAGAAACUCUAGCAAACUGUGGUAGUUAACUGCAGGCUUUGUCAUUCGAAAAUGAGUAAGAAAAGGGAGAUAGGACUUAGACAGAGAGUUUAGAAUAGCAUCUUUCUCCAACUGCUCAUACAGGAGAAAGUCGAGCUUGCUUAGGCACUCAAUUAUCUCGAUCAUGUACAAUACAUGAUCAGUGACUGAUGCUCUUUCUCUCAUUCAAGUAUUGAAGAUGGCACAACUAGUCUUGUGCCUCUCAAUAUCAUCUGGUGUGCCAAAAGACUCGUUCAAUAUUUACAACAUGUCCUGUGACUGAGCAUUCUCGAAAUGAUGGCUAAACUCAUCAUUCAUCGUCGCCAGCAUA